UGGGGAAUAUUGGACAAUGGGCGAAAGCCUGAUCCAGCCAUGCCGCGUGUGUGAAGAAGGCCUUUUGGUUGUAAAGCACUUUAAGCGAGGAGGAGGCUACUUGGAUUAAUACUCUAGGAUAGUGGACGUUACUCGCAGAAUAAGCAGCGGCUAACUCUGUGCCAGCAGCCGCGGUAAUACAGAGGGUGCGAGCGUUAAUCGGAUUUACUGGGCGUAAAGCGUGCGUAGGCGGCUUCUUAAGUCGGAUGUGAAAUCCCUGAGCUUAACUUAGGAAUUGCAUUCGAUACUGGGAAGCUAGAGUAUGGGAGAGGAUGGUAGAAUUCCAGGUGUAGCGGUGAAAUGCGUAGAGAUCUGGAGGAAUACCGAUGGCGAAGGCAGCCAUCUGGCCUAAUACUGACGCUGAGGUACGAAAGCAUGGGGAGCAAACAGG
RNAcentral lists this ribosomal RNA (430 nucleotides) under Acidobacteriota bacterium. Its description in RNAcentral is "Acidobacteria bacterium partial 16S ribosomal RNA". It matches the Rfam family "Bacterial small subunit ribosomal RNA", at positions 355 to 776 of the family's 1533-position model. The record is from RNAcentral. Lineage: Bacteria; Pseudomonadati; Acidobacteriota.